RNAcentral lists this long non-coding RNA (475 nucleotides) under Malus domestica (apple). RNAcentral describes it as "long non-coding RNA (MDOM_LNC001807)". The record is from RNAcentral. Lineage: Eukaryota; Viridiplantae; Streptophyta; Magnoliopsida; Rosales; Rosaceae.
UGAAUGUUUUGUUUAACAAAACAUUGUUUUUUAUUAAUCAAUGAUUGGAUUAUAGUAAUCUAAUUGAUUGUCUCUAUAGUAGAGAUGAUAUGGUAGUGUUAACUGUUUAGAAUAUAACGAUGCUUAAAACCCAAAAGGUUGCAAGGUAGUGACUAAUCCCAACUAAAGUUGUGAUACCUCUAAAACAUAAAUUACGAGUUGGUCAAAGAUGGAUGCUUUAGAUCGUUAGAUCCGGAUCCAAUACCUUCUUAUUAAAAUUGUAUGGAGGCAAAAUGUUCGAUUCUUUAUUCUUUUGGAAAGAAGAAAGAAUCACAAAGUUGUUUAGGCUAAUUCACUUAGAUGUUAGUGGCACUUGUCCACAACAUAAUACUACUCAUGUUGUAUGACAUUCACCGAAGAUCACUCUCGGUUGGACAAUAGUUUAUUUUGAAUAAACACAAGUCCGAAUACUUUGCAAAAGGUUUCAAAGAAUUCA